RNAcentral lists this ribosomal RNA (496 nucleotides) under uncultured bacterium. RNAcentral describes it as "partial 16S ribosomal RNA". It matches the Rfam family "Bacterial small subunit ribosomal RNA", at positions 29 to 507 of the family's 1533-position model. The record is from RNAcentral.
AUGAACGCUGGCGGCGUGCCUAAUACAUGCCAGUCGAGCGAACAGACGAGGAGCUUGCUCCUCUGACGUUAGCGGCGGACGGGUGAGUAACACGUGGAUAACCUACCUAUAAGACUGGGAUAACUUCGGGAAACCGGAGCUAAUACCGGAUAAUAUAUUAAACCGCAUGGUUCAAUAGUGAAAGACGGUUUUGCUGUCACUUAUAGAUGGAUCCGCGCCGCAUUAGCUAGUUGGUAAGGUAACGGCUUACCAAGGCAACGAUGCGUAGCCGACCUGAGAGGGUGAUCGGCCACACUGGAACUGAGACACGGUCCAGACUCCUACGGGAGGCAGCAGUAGGGAAUCUUCCGCAAUGGGCGAAAGCUUGACGGAGCAACGCCGCGUGAGUGAUGAAGGUCUUCGGAUCGUAAAACUCUGUUAUUAGGGAAGAACAAAUGUGUAAGUAACUAUGCACGUCUUGACGGUACCUAAUCAGAAAGCCACGGCUAACUACGUG